GAGAGCUAGAAUUUGAAGCAGGUCUGACCAAUACCAAAGCCUGAUGUCUAGUGAAAUUCACACAAUGCUGCAAAUCUGAAGACUCUGCAGCAGAUUUUGUAGGUACUUUCAGCAGAGGAGUUUCGGAAAUGCUUUGCACAAACACAGGUUCACCAAGUGAGUGAUCACACGGGAAGACCACGUGGGAAGAUUUUAGGUUGUUUUAUUAAAGUUCAUUGCUGAGAACACAAAGGCUGAUGCCACAGAGGGGAAAACGCCAGAUCCACCACCGAACAGCUAAAGCCAUAUGCGCCUGCUCCAUGAAUGCCCAUUUUUCAUCUUUAGUGGGCUUCAAAGUUAAAUAGGACAGACAACACAAAGGAAAAUAUGACCGCAGCAAAAGACAGAAACUACACUGUGGCUACAAUUAAAUCUUCAUACCAAUCA
This is a long non-coding RNA of Gorilla gorilla gorilla (western lowland gorilla), 426 nucleotides long. RefSeq lists it as uncharacterized. NCBI's taxonomy places the organism in Eukaryota, Metazoa, Chordata, Mammalia, Primates, Hominidae. The transcript is spliced from 2 exons. The record is from RefSeq and is a predicted model, not a curated record.